Long non-coding RNA from Rosa chinensis, 692 nucleotides. RefSeq lists it as uncharacterized. The transcript has 3 exons. The record is from RefSeq and is a predicted model, not a curated record. NCBI's taxonomy places the organism in Eukaryota, Viridiplantae, Streptophyta, Magnoliopsida, Rosales, Rosaceae.
GUUCCUAGCACUGUUUGAGUGAAAGGACGGUUUUGCCCUUUAUUUUUCGUGAUUUACGGCCUGCCACUGUGAAUAUGGAUUAGAAGGUUAUAGAAAUUUUAGUGUCUUCGGGAAGUCUCUAUGGACAUUCAUCCAGCUGUUUUGCAGCCUUGAACUCUCACCAGAUAGAAUUUUAGCCUUUUCGGGAAGCCUUGAUUGACAUCCAUCCUCACUAUUUCGCAGCAUCAAACUCUCAGAUACAAAGGUUAGGCUGAAAAAAUAUAGGAAAGGUUUGGUUUCAAGUCUCAUCUCCCAGAUGAGAAGAAGGGUGAGAGGUCUGGUGCUUCGUGCUCAAGCUCGAAGGUCGAAUCUUCCUUGCAUGGAUAAGCUCAGGGAUGAGCUUUCUUAAGAGAAUUGAGAUUGGGUACUUGCAUCUGAGGAAUCUCGGCAACAUUGGAAUGGUUUCAAGGGAUUGAGAUUGAUAGAACUUCAGAAUGGCAAUAAUGCACUGAACCUCAGGAAAGAUCCAAGAUUUUGGUCAAUUUUUGGAAGAAGCUUUAGCUUUGUUUAAAAGAAGUGGUUGCUAAAGUUUUGAUCCAAAACUGUUUCAUUCAGUUAUCUAAAAUUCUGCCCUUUGUUUUUUCUUUCAAACUUUGUGUAUUAGUAUAUUAACAUGUGAAUGAAAAUAAGUUGGCUGUAUAUUUCAAUUUUAA